This 253-nucleotide ribosomal RNA is filed under the name uncultured bacterium. RNAcentral's name for it is "partial 16S ribosomal RNA". It matches the Rfam family "Bacterial small subunit ribosomal RNA", at positions 524 to 776 of the family's 1533-position model. The record is from RNAcentral.
UACGGAGGGUGCAAGCGUUAUCCGGAUUCACUGGGUUUAAAGGGUGCGUAGGCGGGUAAGUAAGUCCGUGGUGAAAUCUCUGAGCUUAACUCAGCAACUGCCGUGGAUACUAUUUGCCUUGAAUAUUGUGGAGGUGAGCGGAAUAUGUCAUGUAGCGGUGAAAUGCUUAGAUAUGACAUAGAACACCAAUUGCGAAGGCAGCUCACUACACAAUCAUUGACGCUGAGGCACGAAAGCGUGGGGAUCAAACAGG